This 2538-nucleotide long non-coding RNA is filed under the name Mus musculus (house mouse). RNAcentral's name for it is "long non-coding RNA chr10:82164246-82166784". The record is from RNAcentral. Lineage: Eukaryota; Metazoa; Chordata; Mammalia; Rodentia; Muridae.
AGUUUAUCCCUCAAGGGAGCCAACACCCUCCCUAAUUCACAGCCAUCAACUCUACUGCUCUCUCUGGCAUAUGUGUUUUAAUAUUUAUAUUAAAGAAGUUUGGCUAUAUGGCAUUCAGGCACAGACAGACUAAAAUCAGAGAGAGAAACAGAAACAGAGAGAUAGAGAGAAAUAUAAGAAUUUAGUGAGUUCACAGGUAUUCCAGAGUCACAUCUUGAAGGGUGGAAAAACUGAGGAUGCUCUUAUCUUCUUGCUCCCUAGUGAAAACGAGGAGAGUAUCCAUCCACACAUCAAUAAAAUGGAUCAUCUAAUAAAUUUAUUUGUCUAUGUUCCUUUGCCUCAUGACAGUAAGAAAAAAAAAAACAGUAACAGGAAAUGCUAGAAGGGUUUAAAUAUGUAAAGGGCCUCAGUAAUGAAAGGAUACAUAAAGAUGGCUGGGUAUCUCCAGAGUAAAUAAGACUAGAAAGCUUUUGCAAGUUAUGACGGUCUGAAGCAGUCAUUUAAGGAACAUAAAGGAUGAGGGCUUCACAUGAUGUAGUAUAUUAAAGUUGGCAAGGGCAGAGAUCAACAAUCUCACAUAUUGGCUAAAAUGAAUCUCAAACCAAGUUUAUUUAGAGUGUCUGGAUAUAUUGCUUCUCAGUUCUUUGGCUAAGAUCAAGUGUAGAAUGUCUGGAUAUUGAAAUAUUAUAAGUAGUUAAAAGUGCCAGACUAGUUGAAAAGUGAUAUUUUGGACAUUAAGUAAUCAUACUUGGAGGCUAUUCUAAUGCGGUCAGAGGGAUUCACAGAAUAUUUUCUCCUUUGUCCUCUCCAGUCAAUGAGCUCUCAUCAGUUUGUAGGCCAUUGACCAGGUUAAUCAGUGUUCUGUACCUGUGGAACGUCACUCAUUGUUCAUGGAGCCAUGGUGACCCUACUCGAUGAAUUAAAAACAUUGUCAGUGUACAAUAAAGAGGCUCAACGCAGGCUUCACAGGAAGCCAUAAUUAGUCAAACAAGGCCUUUGUCUUACCCUCACAUAGAUGGACAACUGGUAGAAAAAGGCUAGAGGAGCCUAAGGGUCCUGUUAAGUCCACUUGACACCUGAGGAUCUGUUGAACACUACAGAAGUGCCACACCACCUUCAGUGGGAUCUGUGUGACAAGUUCCACAGACUGAGGUGGUUUACCUCAGAAGGGGGAGGGAGGCCUCCUGGAACCUGUUGUGGAACUCUUCGCUGAAGAAAAAAUAUUGAGCUGUAGUUCUCAUGGCAACCUAUCUGUUUUGGUUCCUCUUAUUCCUUUUCUUAUUUACAUGUUCCUGGUAGCCUAGGCCAAGACCUUAAGUGAGAAUAAUGGAUUAAGAAACCAUCUUUUGAGAUAGGGUCACUAACAUGACCUUAUGCCUGGGGAAACCAAUGGUUUACUUUUAAAAUCAUUUACAAAACUAUUAUGAUAGAUAAAAACUUUCCCAACAAUAAAAUUUCAUAUGGCUACAUGUGUGUUAUUGGAGGUGGCUUUUGGUAUGGUAAAGAAAGCCUUAAUUAGAAUUAAAAUAGUUUAAAUUUAUGUGUUGAAGAUUUAUUAAAAAAUCAGGUAUUAGAUGUUAAAUAAUAAUUGACCAUAUGGGGCUGGAAAGUUAGUUCAGUGGUUAAUAGCACCAUAAAGAUUUAUUAACCUGCUCUUGGAAAUAUGCCACUAGCCUUGAACGAUUGCCCACACUGAUUAUAUUCUUUUAGAAUUGUUAUAUUUUGAUGAUUUACAUUAACGAUGAUGUUACCUGUUCUGUUUGUGAUUGUUUCACUGGAUACAGUUUCUAAGAGAGAUUUUUUGUGCUUUACUGUGCCAAAUGAUUUUUGCUGAUAUUUGUGAUUGUUUCACUGGAUAUAGUUUCUAAGAGAUAUAAUGUUUGGUUUUUUUAACGUAUAAAAUCCCCUAUUUGAGAGCUUCAAAAUCCACUCAGACUCAGACUGCCCCUGCGUUUGUUUCUGUUUGUCACUGCUGAAUCCUUACCUAGCUUCAAGGACCCACAUUCCAGGGACCCUCAUACCCAACUUGGGUGGUCUGUGACACAGAAGAAAAAUUACCUUUUGGCACUUGCACGAUCUUUAGCAUUCACCAGGAAAGCUUAACCAAGCACUACAAGAACUGAUAACAACCAAAGGAAUCCUAGUCCACAGACAAUAAGUGUAAGUUUAUGGGAGAUGUUAAUGAGACAGAUAUAUCUUAUUAAUAUUUUUAUUUUGAUAAAAAUAUGUUGUCCAGAUGUAAGAUGUCAGAGUUUGGCUCACUCUAGUGCCUACCUACAGCCAAGGGAGACCAGCCAUGAAGGUUGAUUGUGGAAUCAUUUCUGGAGAAUAACCUUUGAGGUUGAAGGAAAAUGAGGAGUCUAAUGGAAGGGGCCUUUGUGAGCCUAUGAAGAAAGACUGAUGGACUUUGGACAUUUUAAUUCUUUCACAACACCAGUCAAGGACUGGCUUUCCUCUGUAGACCUGUCAUUUGGAAUUUUUAAAGAUGAUCUUUGGUUGGUUGCCUCAAUACCUUCCCCAAAUACAGCUGGAGGAAGC